Molecule: long non-coding RNA, 231 nt
Filed under: Malus domestica (apple)
Lineage: Eukaryota; Viridiplantae; Streptophyta; Magnoliopsida; Rosales; Rosaceae
Description: long non-coding RNA (MDOM_LNC019466)
Source: RNAcentral
AAAAUGGAGCUUGGAAUGCAUGUCACAUAUUUGGGCCAAAGUGGAUGGACGAAUUUGAGAACUAAAAAGGCCAAGAAUGUGAAGAAUUAUGGUCCAAAAGAUGAAGAACUCAGCCCAAAAAUUUGUCACCCCAACUUGCCUUCAUUGCCAUGCAAAACAACAUAGAAUUCCUUUGGAUUCCCAUGCCAUGCUUGAUCACUCUUGUCCCCUACAUAAAUUCUGAUUUCAUGC